RNAcentral lists this ribosomal RNA (484 nucleotides) under uncultured bacterium. Its description in RNAcentral is "partial 16S ribosomal RNA". It matches the Rfam family "Bacterial small subunit ribosomal RNA", at positions 30 to 507 of the family's 1533-position model. The record is from RNAcentral.
AUUGAACGCUGGCGGCAGGCCUAACACAUGCAAGUCGAGCGGAUGAAGGGAGCUUACUCCUGGAUUCAGCGGCGGACGGGUGAGUAAUGCCUAGGAAUCUGCCUGGUAGUGGGGGAUAACGUCCGGAAACGGGCGCUAAUACCGCAUACGUCCUGAGGGAGAAAGUGGGGGAUCUUCGGACCUCACGCUAUCAGAUGAGCCUAGGUCGGAUUAGCUAGUUGGUGGGGUAAAGGCCUACCAAGGCGACGAUCCGUAACUGGUCUGAGAGGAUGAUCAGUCACACUGGAACUGAGACACGGUCCAGACUCCUACGGGAGGCAGCAGUGGGGAAUAUUGGACAAUGGGCGAAAGCCUGAUCCAGCCAUGCCGCGUGCGUGAAGAAGGUCUUCGGAUUGUAAAGCACUUUAAGUUGAGAGGAAGGGCAGUAAGUUAAUACCUUGCUGUUUUGACGUUACCAACAGAAUAAGCACCGGCUAACUUCGUG